UGCAUUCCGCAACAACAACUGAUUAUAAACUGGGAUUGACAGGUUCUGCAGUGAAGACCGUAUCGAUAGGGGAUGUGGCAAUCACAGAGAUGGAAAACAACCAAUCAUCCUGGGUAAGGAGGAAAAACAGAAAUGCAAAAACCGAAAAACACCUGGUCCUUAAGGGGUUAAAGAAUUCCUUGCCUUACCUAAUUCUGGACCCAUGGCUUUUAAUAACAUCAUCCACUUGGAAAGGAGCGCUUUUGGAGCACCGUGCUUUUUGUGGAUCAUUGAUUCCCACACCUACCCCUAUCGACUAGACAUCCAGGAACGGUUCCCGUGAUGGCGAGGUUCCAGCAGCCCUUCCUCAACCACACAUCCCUCAGAGAUCGGGGAUUAAAGCAGCUAACGGUGUUGUGCCUGGGACACAACACGCUCAGGUGAGCGCAACACCUCUCAUACAUCUCUGUACACCUGAUCAACAGAAUCAUGGCACAUUAGUGCACUUCUCUUUUUUGUUUCUCUUUUCUACAUAUUCGAGUCUCAGGAGCUGUUUUGUAACACAUCCACACUAGGCAGCAUCUUCCUCGUGCUACUGUGAGCAGCCUGUGGGGCCGAAAUGCAUUACUUUGGCCUGGACUUGUCUUUGGACAUAUCUCCCAUCAAGUACAUCUGGGACAUCAUUGGUCCGCAAUUGUAUAUAGAGCUGCCAGCAGCGAAUCUUGAUGAUUUGUGUG
Molecule: long non-coding RNA, 716 nt
Organism: Hyla sarda
Lineage: Eukaryota; Metazoa; Chordata; Amphibia; Anura; Hylidae
Exons: 3
Source: RefSeq, a predicted model, not a curated record